This 253-nucleotide ribosomal RNA is filed under the name uncultured bacterium. RNAcentral's name for it is "partial 16S ribosomal RNA". It matches the Rfam family "Bacterial small subunit ribosomal RNA", at positions 524 to 776 of the family's 1533-position model. The record is from RNAcentral.
UACGUAGGGGGCAAGCGUUGUUCGGAAUUACUGGGCGUAAAGGGCGCGUAGGCGGCACGGCAAGUCGGGAGUGAAAGGCCUGGGCUCAACCGAGGAACUGCUUUCGAGACUGCCGAGCUAGAGUGCGGAAGGGGCAUCUGGAAUUCCCAGCGUAGCGGUGAAAUGCGUAGAUAUUGGGAAGAACACCUGAGGCGAAGGCGGGAUGCUGGGCCGACACUGACGCUGAGGCGCGAAAGCCAGGGGAGCAAACGGG